CGGACCUUGUAUCAAUGGCACCACGAGGGCUUUACUGUCUCCUCUCUCUAAUCAGUGAAACUGAUCUUCCCGUGAAGAAGCGGGAAUAAAUCUAUAAGACGAGAAGACCCCAUGGAGCUUUAAGCUAGCUUCACAUCUAUUUUAUAUAUCUUCUAAUUAAAUAGAACACUGCCUGCUCAGCUUUAGGUUGGGGUGACCGCGGAACAUAACAUAACUUCCACGAUGUACAAAACUAUUUUUUUAUCUAAGAAUAACUAUUCUAAGAAUUAGCAUUCUAACAUAUGAUGAUCCGAUAAUCGAUCAACGGACUAAGUUACCCUGGGGAUAACAGCGCAAUCCAUUUCAAGAGCCCCUAUCGACAAAUGGGUUUACGACCUCGAUGUUGGAUCAGGAUAUCCUAGUGGUGCAGCAGCUACUGAAGGUUCGUUU
RNAcentral lists this ribosomal RNA (429 nucleotides) under Gephyromantis boulengeri. RNAcentral describes it as "partial 16S ribosomal RNA". It matches the Rfam family "Bacterial large subunit ribosomal RNA", at positions 1983 to 2578 of the family's 2925-position model. The record is from RNAcentral. Lineage: Eukaryota; Metazoa; Chordata; Amphibia; Anura; Mantellidae.